UAUAUAUAUAUAAGCGAUUGCAUUUGUACUGUACUAAAAAAUAAUAUACAAAACGUGAAGGUACCUUCGUGGCCCACCGCAUUACAUGCCUUGUGUGCACUUCUAUUACUGUGUUAGCACAUGGGGUGUUCUUCUCCAGCUAGCUUUGAUUUUCCUGUUCAUCUACACGACAUAAGUGAAAAGUGAGGCCAAACAUAUGGAAUUUUAUUCUUGACAUCGAAUGUGUUGUUAAAGUAUUACUAGAUAUUCCAUAAAGACACGAUUAAUUGAAAUCACAUACCAUGGCUUUAGUAGACGACAACAAUACUCAAAGGCACGAGAGCAUGAGCAGGUUUAUUUCACUCACGAGGACAAAGCACAGUUUUGCUUCAAUACAACUAGUUCAGAGGAAAAACUUGAGCAGCGUGAACUUUUAUCCCAAGAGCCCAUUAUCCAUGCUCGGAGAUAGCCUUCACCUUCAUGCUAUGGCAAGAGCUGUCCGCCUUCUCUCUCGCGACUGAAGCUUCAUGUCGGGAUGUGCGUAAAUGAGGGCAGAGUGACACUUUGGCAUCUCAGGUGUUGGACCGUGAAGGUCUCUUUCGCCCGGGCGAAUUUCCAUAUGGUUGUCCCUGACAGGUCGGGGAGAAAAAAAAGGUUAACCCAUUAUACCCUUUUGUAGUAAGAAAAUUCCUGGUGCCUUUCAAGCCUAAGCAGUUCGGGUAAAUAACUACACAUGAUGGAGGCUCUCCACUCCCUGGAUGGCCGGAUGCAUGGAGGAUCUUUGUUCAUAUUGACAGGGAAAUUGGAGUUCUAACUAAGGCCCCUAAGAGCUCGAUAUUUAUCUAUUGAACAUAUGUGACAUGAAGGGAGCGCACGCCUCCGGCGGCUAGGGUUUGGGCGCCAUCCGAGUCGCCCUAGCAGGGAUGACGCGGGGGCUGAAGGGGAACCACCUCGACAUGCAUCGAGUAUUGAUUGAUCGUGGAUGGGGCUGAUAGAUAAAUAGAUAGAUAGAAGAUGAGCCGUCGCCGGAGCACUAGAGCGCGCUCUGCCCAUAUAUUGGACGGUCCUCAGAGUCAUCUCGGUCUGGCCCAAGCUCGACCGUUGCCGGUCUGGUUCAUGAAAACAGGACCGCGACACUGGUCGGUCUGGUCUGGACCGGACUGCCGGCGGCCGGUCCAAACGCUGGCUCGGACAGUGUCCUCCCUAAGACAUGCUCAUUAGAGACAAGCUCCGAAAAUGCAGAAUGCAGAACAUAAAAAUCUCCAAAAAUGGUAAAUCUACUCCAGUAUUGCUCCUUGUAAAACUUAUUGGAGAUAGUGGCGACGAUUGCUAGCAAUGGCCAUUAAUUUGCUCUAAACUUCUAUGCAGUCGUUGAUUGGCCCAAGCUAUGUAUAAAUCAGGACAAUACGUGCUCAUGGGAGACAUGUUGAGGUAAAUUAUGGCCAAUACAUGCACAUGGGAGGGAGAGAGGAACUGUGGCAUGUGUAGGUCCUAGAUGGAAGGAAAUCGUGGGAGGUGAGCACAACGGUGAGCUAUCAUGUUUGAGUCUGCUGUAGAUUUCACAUUUUUUUCCUGUUCUAUUGGAAGAUUGCAACUAAGCUGAAACGUCAACAAAAUCAUGGAAGAAUUCUUUUAAGGGAUGCAUAAACAUCCAUAGCAGAAAGAUCAUCCAAGAAGAUAUAUCUGGAAAGUUUGCUUGUUCGAAACUAAGUUUUUGCAGCAAAGGAUCGGACUGAAACCAUUAUAGAGAUCAUGGAGAAAGGUGCUGGUGUGUUGUGCAAUUGAAUAUAAAUCUAGGGAGGAGAGAGAUAUCCGGAGGAGAAACAUAAGGUGGUGUCAAGGGGAUUAGGAGAUUCGAGUUGAGGCAUGCCGACGUUGUAUCGAGGAGAUUGUGCACAUACAGGAACUAGCGAGGGAGAUGAUGGAGAAAGAAGGCAGGACGCUGUGCUGACCUACCGACGUUGUAUAGAGAAGACUGUGCCCAUACCGGUGCUAGCGAAGGAGAUGAUGGAGAAAGAAGGCCAGACGAUCUAUGCUGUUAGAUCAAUUUGAAUUUACCGUUGUACUAUUGUUGGAAUCCUCGUCCGAUGUUUGAAUCCCAUGGAGGAACUAGGGAAACAAAUCCAAUUAUUUUAUUUUGAUAGACAAAGUGACAAUAUCAAGGCAGAGUGUAUCAUUUCACUCAUGAAGUUAGUACACAUGAGUAUGAAUUUCUGUUAGUCAUACACUAGAGGAAGAACGACCUCCUCGCCGUUGGCACAUAUGCACCUGAGAUUCCUUUGUACCUUCAUGUGUUGAGAUGCCAACAAGUCUUUUUUGAGAAAUUUGGUCAAUAUGUUGGAUAUGGAGGCAAGCUACACUAGAUCAUAGCUUCUAGUUAUUGACUACUACCUAAUCAUGAAUCUUCUCAUUGCCGCCAGCACCAUAAAUUGCCACCAGGCACUCGUCACCGUCACCACUGUCAGCGGAUCACCACUGAACCACCGCUAGACUAUGUCAUGAGCGAUGGCGGAGUUACAAACAUUGAUAAUGUCCGAAAGACGGAAUUCAUCUGUUACAACAUUCUACCAUGUAACACGUCGUCGUCCCAUUGCAACGGCAGCCCACCGGCGUCAUCUUUGUCUCCUGUAGACAAACGAUGUGGCAGGUGGAUGCAACAAUAAGUUACUGAACUAUCGAGCGCCCAUCCGGACAGUUCUACCCUCCGACAUUUCAUCGUAGGAAGACAACAUUUUAUACAUGAUACUUGAUGGUUUGGAACGAUAAAUGAAAACAAGGUGAAAAACAUGGGCGAUGCAGAGGCAAGGGUUUUCACAUGAUACUUGAUGGUUUGGAAAGAUAGACGUAAACAACUUGAAAGGAAUGUGAUGCCUACAGGAUAUAUACAUGUAUAUGAGUUUAGCACUUUAGCUCAACUAUGAUUCACAUGAGGUAGGAACGAUUCUAGUUAGGCCGUGAGACAAUUGAUGUAAGAUGAACUUAGGUUCCGACAUUUCGACGAAGGUCGCAGGUACAGGUACGACAAACCAUCCAUGUUAGAAUGAACCGAGUGAUACUAUGCGAUGUUGGGAAUGGACAGGUGUGUGUAGAUGCGAUGAGAUACGACGGAUCACUAAUUUGUUUUCCAUAUCACAGGGCGGAGGCCCACAUCGGAGACACCUCACUUGGAAUAAGCUAACAAUAAGUCUCUCCCCAUCGAAGAAAAUCACAAUAAUUUUCCUUUGGUCAGGCCAGAAUAAUAAAAUUGGUUAACAAACCUCGCCUCAUAGCCAUAUAGCCGUUCCUGGUGUCUUUCAAGCCUACACAAUUCUUUUGACAGACGCUUUCCACUCUCUAGACCUAUGGAGGAUCUCUAUCCAUCAUUGCUAAAGGAAACUGGAAUUCGAACUCAGAAGUUGGGGAGAGACUGAUACGUAUGUAUCGACUGUGUAUAGUGACAUGACGGUGCCUCCUUGGCCCACAACAUUAUUUUAGCACAUCUCUCACGAGUUUAAUUUGAUAUCUUUUAAACCUACACAACGGUGCCUCCUUUCAGCCUACACAAUUCCUCUGAAAAAUGUUUUCCACUCUCUCAAGAUAUAUAGGGAGAUCUCUAUCUAUAAUUGCUAGAGGAAAU
RNAcentral lists this long non-coding RNA (3595 nucleotides) under Hordeum vulgare. RNAcentral's name for it is "long non-coding RNA (HVUL_LNC017490)". Lineage: Eukaryota; Viridiplantae; Streptophyta; Magnoliopsida; Poales; Poaceae. The record is from RNAcentral.